This 468-nucleotide ribosomal RNA is filed under the name uncultured bacterium. Its description in RNAcentral is "partial 16S ribosomal RNA". It matches the Rfam family "Bacterial small subunit ribosomal RNA", at positions 34 to 507 of the family's 1533-position model. The record is from RNAcentral.
UCUUCCCUCUGGCGGCGUGCCUAACACAUGCAAGUCGAACGGAAGGACGCUGCUUUUGCUUGGUUCUCGAUAGGGGCGGGGGUGAGAAACACAGGAGUAUGCCGGCCUUAUCUGUAUGAGAUCAUUACGAAACAGCGGAUAUUACAUCGGAGGAUCUCCUGCUGCGUGGGGUUCGUAGGAGAAUUAAGGCGGUGGUGGAUGGAAUAGCGGGUUACGAGCUGGUUGGUGGAGUAGGUGCUUACCCAGGCUUCGACGGGUAGGCCGCGUGGGAGGGUUGCCGGGCACCAUGGGACUGAGAUACGGACCAGACUCCUACGGGAGGCAGUAGUGGGGAAUCUUGCACAAUGGGCGGAAGCGUGAUGAAGAAACGUUGCGUGCGGGAUGACGGCCUUCGGGUUGUAAACCGCUUUAGCCUGUGACGAUGCGUGAGUGACGGUAAUGGGUAAAGAAGCACCGGCUAACUACGUG